This 483-nucleotide ribosomal RNA is filed under the name Platycleis sabulosa. RNAcentral's name for it is "eukaryotic LSU rRNA". It matches the Rfam family "Eukaryotic large subunit ribosomal RNA", at positions 704 to 1140 of the family's 3401-position model. Lineage: Eukaryota; Metazoa; Arthropoda; Insecta; Orthoptera; Tettigoniidae. The record is from RNAcentral.
AAACCUAAAGGCGCAAUGAAAGUGAAGGUCCCGCCUCGUGCGGACCGAGGGAAGAUGGGCCGCGCUGCUGUGCGGCUCCGCAUUCCCGGGGCGUCUCGUUCUCAUUGCGAGUUGAGGCGCACCCAGAGCGUACACGUUGGGACCCGAAAGAUGGUGAACUAUGCCUGGCCAGGACGAAGUCAGGGGAAACCCUGAUGGAGGUCCGUAGCGAUUCUGACGUGCAAAUCGAUCGUCGGAGCUGGGUAUAGGGGCGAAAGACUAAUCGAACCAUCUAGUAGCUGGUUCCCUCCGAAGUUUCCCUCAGGAUAGCUGGUGCUCGAACGAGUCUCAUCCGGUCAAGCGAAUGAUUAGAGGCCUUGGGGCCGAAACGACCUCAACCUAUUCUCAAACUUUAAAUGGGUGAGAUCUCCGGCUUGCUUAAAACAUUUUUGAAGCCGCGAGAUUWAUUUUCUUGGAUCGGAGUGCCAAGUGGGCCACUUUUGG